This 2070-nucleotide long non-coding RNA is filed under the name Limulus polyphemus (Atlantic horseshoe crab). RNAcentral describes it as "uncharacterized LOC106457190, transcript variant X3". The record is from RNAcentral. Lineage: Eukaryota; Metazoa; Arthropoda; Merostomata; Xiphosura; Limulidae.
AGCUAUAUCAGGACCAAAAUGGCAGGAAAAUUUGUAAACCUGUGUUGAUUUUAUUAACCAAUACCAAUGGGCUUGCUUGAAAAUUGUAAUUGACGUUGAACUUGUAAUGUUGUAGAUUCAGUUUACACUUAUAGUUUGUUGACUACAGUUUCUCAAAGUAUUUGGAACUAGGUACAAGCUGGGCCUGAUGAAGAAAGAUGAUGAUGAUGAACAAAAAUAAGAAAUGCGAUUUUAGCUAUUCACCGGAUUUCGACUUGGGACGCUCUGGAUAGCUGAAAAGCGUCAUAUACACCUGAGAUAGAGCGACUAUACUAGGUAGCUCUUCAUAUCUAGCUUCUGAUGACCUGUAGAGAAGAAAAUCCAGAUGACUCUCCAAUAAUUCAAGACAGAGCUUAUUGAAGUGGUUUCCAACAGUGUGUUGUGAAAAUCAGAACAAGUUUAUACUUUCAAGGACUGGACUACAGAUGUUAACCUCAAACCUGGAAUAACUGCUUUCUGACCACUUUCAACUUACUGACAUUGGCAUCUUAGGACUGGUUGUGAUUUGAUAUGUAGGAAUUUUAAUGCUUGUCUUCCAAAUGGACCAAAACUGAAAGAAACUGAGUGUGAAGUUGUAGUUUGAAGUUCUGUCUAAGAAGACUUCUUCACAAGCAUCCUAAUCACAUACAGUCUUGAAGAUGGCUCUGGACAACAGUAUACUUUGUUGAUGAGAAACAAAUACUGAUCAACUUAUUAAUGAAAACUAUAGAAACCAGAGAAGAAGAAAAAACAGUUUUCCAGGAAUUACCCAUCCACUCUCAUUAUGAUUGGAGCAGGAGGAAACCCACAGCUACCAAAGAGAUUGUUUUAUCAACAGCUUUACUCUACGAGCAAGAUAAAAAACAUUUUAUUAUUGGUAUUUCUCUGACCACUAUGUUUAAAGGUUUAUGAUGAUCACUGAAGAGGUUUAAAAUUAUGUGUAAUUUCUUUUUGUAACAAAUAAAACAAAUUAUGUAAAUAAACUUUCAAUAUCAUGAACAUUUUCUUAGGAUAUUAGUUAUUAAUUAAUUAGUGUUUACCUGAAUCAGAUAAUAUCUGAUAAUGGAAUUGUAUAUUUAUUAUUAAAAUGCAAGCAACAACCAUAUAUAAGAUUGUAGAGGGUUUUGAUAAACCAGCCCUGAUGUAUAGGAUUACAAAGGUUUUUGUAUUUUUUUAUAUUUUAUAGUAAUUUCAAUGCAAGCAACAUUUUUGUAAAUCCAUACACAUUUUUCAAUAAAAAACCCUGAUUAACUAGUUCAUGGGGGUCAAAAAUUGAUUGCGUUUAUCCAAAAUCAGUGAAUGCCACAAAAUUUGAAUGUGAUCUCGUAAAUAGUUUUUGCAUAAAUACCAAUUAAUAAAGUUUAAAAUGAUACCAUGAAAGCAACUCAAGCAAUGGUAGCAACUGUCAUUAGUCACAAAAUGGACAUUUUUGUAGAUCUUAUUGAUUGUUUUUAAACUGUGGAUAUUACUAAUACUUCACAGAAUGAGAAAAAUAAACAUUUUCUAGAUCUUUAAUAUUUUUUGUGUAUUUUUAGUGAGAUAUACAUACUUAUGAGUUUUAGCCAAAGAUUUAUUUACUUAUUUAUAACCCAUUUGUUAAAAUUAUGACUAACAAUACUCUCUACACCUUUUAAAUUUAAUAUUUUACUUAAUGUGAUCUUGUGUUAAUGUUUCACUAAAUGUGUUCUUGUGUUAAUGUUUACUAAAUGUAGUGUUGUGUUAAUUUUUCAAUAAAUGUGGUCUUGUGUUAAUUUUUUAGUAAAUAUGGUAUUGUGUUAAUGUUUAGUAAAUGUGGUAUUGUAUUAAUGUUUUACUAAAUGUGGUCUUGUGCUGAUUAAUGUUUUAGUAAAUUACUGCUGGUUACUUGUGACUGGUUGCACUCUCUUGUGAAUGGAGUGUGAUAAUGUUUUCUACAUGAGUGUUGUUCAGUAUGCUUUGAUUGGUUGUAUCUUUCUCUUGAUACUUGGCAUGUCCAGUUGGUUAGGGUGCUUGACUCGCUAUCUGAGGGACAUGUGUUCGGAUCCCCAUCCCACCAAACAUGCUGGCCUUUCA